ACGAUAGCCAAAUCGGGCGAAGAACUCGCCGUUUAUGGCAAAUUUAAAUCCAGUAUCCGUUAUUCCGAUGGCCAGUUUGAAUUGUUCAUCGACAUGAAAUGGAAAGUUUCCGUACCGCUCUUCCAGGCCGAAGCUAAAAUUUUCAUUCAUAGCAUUUCGGAUAACCACAAAAUUUGGCUCAAAUCUGGGAUUGAAGUGUAACGUGUGCCGUUUUGUAGCGCCUUCUGUAAAAUAUAACACAAAUGUGCCUCGGGGAUUUCCUGUCGGUAUGCCAGUUAUGACAAUCACGUGACCUAUAAAAUCGUUAGACAGGAAUUUAGUAACAAGAUUUUUCCGUUGUUAAUCUGGCCAAACCUGGCGAAAAUCGUCGUGGUGCAUCAUUACUGAAUGUAACAGUCCUAAGAUCCUGUUGGAUGGGUGGUAUCGGCUGUGGAUAAGCAGCUCGAUGAUCUAUUUGAUUAACCGAAAGGAUAUCUCUGGUCACUUCAAUCGUACGAAUCAACUGAUUCGACAUGCGAUAGUUAUACACGCAAUAUGGCUGAUCAUUGAUCGCAAUAUGGAAUUGAGUUUCUCCAACGAAGAUAUAGAUUUUGAAGUUGUCACCUGAAAGUCCGGUCUGGCUUUAAUAAAUUUGUGAUGUCUGGAAACGCCUGAGGAUCAAUUACCUGCUACAACCGGAUUCGGAAUCGUAAAUUCAUUCAAAUUCUGUUCUCGCUCUUCACCGUCCCAUCCGCUCGGGGUCCAUGAGUUGCGUACAAUUACGUCCUCGUAGAAUCGACACGACAAGUGUAAUGCUAUAUGAGCAUUUUCACUCUUUCCACUCUUCAAAUUGAUGUCUAAACUGUCGAAUGAGCCGGGUGAUUAAAUUCAGUUGUGAAUGAUAGUCCUUUUAAAUACCGUGACGCUCCGGCUAUCGUUUUUCCAGCAACUACGAAUAGUUGAGCUGGCUCCACUGGACCAAAAACGUUGCCAAUGAAUUGGGAUAUCAUUUCACUAUUUUGUCAGCCAGCGGUUUUGAUUGUGUCCAAGUUUCUGUUCAGUCUAUGAUCAAAUUAUGUCAUUUUGUUGUUACUCAUUGCUUUACAAAAGCUUAGCGUCAACUAAUUCCAAUAAAAUUGUGUUUCGGUUCUUUGCCAUUCAGUGUGGGUCGCCAAUUUAUU
Molecule: long non-coding RNA, 1160 nt
Organism: Bradysia coprophila
Lineage: Eukaryota; Metazoa; Arthropoda; Insecta; Diptera; Sciaridae
Source: RefSeq, a predicted model, not a curated record